AAAUAACAAAUGGAACAAUUACAAAGAAAGAAUAUAAAAAGGGUUUCCAAAUGGAUAAUGUAUAAGAACUUAAAAAAAAUAAUAAAGGAACUUAAAAAUAAAUAGUAUAUAAAAAUUUUAAAAUGAAUUACAUAUAAAACAGUUUAGGUUAAAUACUGUAUGGGCCCAAUUUUGCCCUGCCCGUUUAAACAAAAACUAAAAAAUAAAGACAGUUCAUGUUACAUAAAUCCCAAAUACAAGGCCCAAAUCCUGCCCAUUUUACAAACAGACCCUAAACCCCUAACCCAAUCGGCCUAAUAGGCCCAGUGUCCAAACUGGGUCUCAGCUAGCCGAAACCCUAGCCAGCCUCAGCGCUGCGCCUCCCCUCUGCUGCCCACUUGCUUCAGCAGCGCAUUCGACGCUCGAGGACCGACUUUGCCCGUCCUUUGCACCAAAACGGAAGCCCCUCUCGUUGACCCUCCUCCCAACCUGCAAACAGACCAUAAAGGGGAACAGAAACAACGCAAUACGCAAAGGCAACAGAGACCAAGAAAUGUGUAUUUGGCUAUAUAGCCAAGAGAACAAAAUGUAACUUUUUUUCGGACACACGGAUUGAAAUACAAAAAAGAAUCAAUCAAAAAAGAAAUCGAAACAAUAUUCGACAAAAAAGGUGGUCUCUUAUUCUGUUCUUAUACUUCUUUUCUUUACGAGUUUAUGCAAUAGAUAGUUUAUACAUAUAUUCAAAAAGGAAGGGAUAUCGUUACCUUGCUGGAGGUCGGAGAAGUCGGAGCCGAACGGUUCCCGUGGCUCGAUCUGAUUCUCUAAGGGGUUUUCGUUUGUUUAGAACUUGAGUUUGGAGUGAAGGGAACGAGGGGAUCGAUUUGGGGCCAUUUUUGCACCUCCGGUUGCCGUGGAAGGCAGACGUCGGCGACGGACGGGCAGCAAUUCGAUGGCCGAAAAUCGCCUAGGCCGGAGGAACCUAUCUCUCUCUCUCUCCCUUUUUUUUUAAAUGCACUGAUGAAAUGAUGAUGUUUCAAAAAAAAUUUUGAUUUUAUAGACAUA
Molecule: long non-coding RNA, 1041 nt
Filed under: Gossypium barbadense (sea-island cotton)
Lineage: Eukaryota; Viridiplantae; Streptophyta; Magnoliopsida; Malvales; Malvaceae
Description: long non-coding RNA (GBAR_LNC004714)
Source: RNAcentral